AGUGAACGCUGGCGGUAGGCCUAACACAUGCAAGUCGAACGGCAGCACAGUAAGAGCUUGCUCUUACGGGUGGCGAGUGGCGGACGGGUGAGGAAUACAUCGGAAUCUACUUUUUCGUGGGGGAUAACGUAGGGAAACUUACGCUAAUACCGCAUACGACCUACGGGUGAAAGCAGGGGAUCUUCGGACCUUGCGCGAUUGAAUGGGCCGAUGUCGGAUUAGCUAGUUGGCGGGGUAAAGGCCCACCAAGGCGACGAUCCGUAGCUGGUCUGAGAGGAUGAUAAGCCACACUGGAACUGAGACACGGUCCAGACUCCUACGGGAGGCAGCAGUGGGGAAUAUUGGACAAUGGGCGCAAGCCUGAUCCAGCCAUACCGCGUGGGUGAAGAAGGCCUUCGGGUUGUAAAGCCCUUUUGUUGGGAAAGAAAAGCAGCAGGUUAAUACCCCGCUGUUCUGACGGUACCCAAAGAAUAAGCACCGGCUAACUUCGUG
Molecule: ribosomal RNA, 492 nt
Filed under: uncultured bacterium
Lineage: Bacteria
Description: partial 16S ribosomal RNA
Rfam family: Bacterial small subunit ribosomal RNA
Source: RNAcentral